AGGUAACGGCUCACCAAGGCGACGAUCCGUAGCUGGUCUGAGAGGAUGAUCAGCCACAUCGGGACUGAGACACGGCCCGAACUCCUACGGGAGGCAGCAGUGGGGAAUAUUGGACAAUGGGGGCAACCCUGAUCCAGCCAUGCCGCGUGUGUGAAGAAGGCCCUCGGGUUGUAAAGCACUUUCAGCGAGGAAGAACGCCUAGUGGUUAAUACCCAUUAGGAAAGACAUCACUCGCAGAAGAAGCACCGGCUAACUCCGUGCCAGCAGCCGCGGUAAUACGGAGGGUGCAAGCGUUAAUCGGAAUUACUGGGCGUAAAGCGCGCGUAGGUGGCUUGAUAAGCCGGUUGUGAAAGCCCCGGGCUCAACCUGGGAACGGCAUCCGGAACUGUCAGGCUAGAGUGCAGGAGAGGAAGGUAGAAUUCCCGGUGUAGCGGUGAAAUGCGUAGAGAUCGGGAGGAAUACCAGUGGCGAAGGCGGCCUUCUGGACUGACACUGACACUGAGGUGCGAAAGCGUGGGUAGCAAACAGGAUUAGAUACCCUGGUAGUCCACGCCGUAAACGAUGUCGACCAGCCGUUGGGUGCCUAGAGCACUUUGUGGCGAAGUUAACGCGAUAAGUCGACCGCCUGGGGAGUACGGCCGCAAGGUUAAAACUCAAAUGAAUUGACGGGGGCCCGCACAAGCGGUGGAGCAUGUGGUUUAAUUCGAUGCAACGCGAAGAACCUUACCUACCCUUGACAUCUACAGAAGCCGGAAGAGAUUCUGGUGUGCCUUCGGGAACUGUAAGACAGGUGCUGCAUGGCUGUCGUCAGCUCGUGUUGUGAAAUGUUGGGUUAAGUCCCGUAACGAGCGCAACCCUUGUCCUUAUUUGCCAGCGAGUAAUGUCGGGAACUCUAAGGAGACUGCCGGUGACAAACCGGAGGAAGGUGGGGACGACGUCAAGUCAUCAUGGCCCUUACGGGUAGGGCUACACACGUGCUACAAUGGCCGGUACAAAGGGCUGCGAGCUCGCGAGAGUUAGCGAAUCCCUUAAAGCCGGUCUCAGUCCGGAUCGGAGUCUGCAACUCGACUCCGUGAAGUCGGAAUCGCUAGUAAUCGUGAAUCAGAAUGUCACGGUGAAUACGUUCCCGGGCCUUGUACACACCGCCCGUCACACCAUGGGAGUGGACUGCACCAGAAGUGGUUAGCCUAACGCAAGAGGGCGAUCACCACGGUGUGGUUCAUGACUGGGG
RNAcentral lists this ribosomal RNA (1231 nucleotides) under Vreelandella boliviensis LC1. Its description in RNAcentral is "bacterial SSU rRNA". It matches the Rfam family "Bacterial small subunit ribosomal RNA", at positions 255 to 1480 of the family's 1533-position model. Lineage: Bacteria; Pseudomonadati; Pseudomonadota; Gammaproteobacteria; Oceanospirillales; Halomonadaceae. The record is from RNAcentral.